GGCCCGCCUGGCAGGACGACUGAGCAAGUUCUUGGAAAACCAGAGAUAUUAGAGCGCAGAAUGGGGAAAUGGAGAGAGAACCUGAAAGAGCCCCAAACUCGAGGACCUAUUGCUCCCCAAGAAUAACAUCUUCCAGAACUAGACAGAAAACUAGGCGUCUGGGAACCCUGAAAUCCUUGGAGGAGUAGAUCAUCAUGACCCUCUGUGUUCCUUUUGGCAAAUGACUUGCUUCCAUUGUUUGUUUGUUCAAUUGUCUGUUUGUUAAAUAAAUAAAACCCUUUUUAUGUAUCUUUAAAAUUACAUUGGUUCUAUUAUUUUAUGAUUACAAACGAUGCUGCAGUCAUCAUUCUUGUACACUUCUCAUUGGCCACUGGUGUAUUUCUAUAGGGUGGAGGCCUGGAGAGCAGUUGUUCCAGCAUAGUGUUUACAUAGCUUUUAUUUAAUUCCGUUUUCUUUCCUUUGUUGCUUUAUUAGCUAUAACCCUUCUCUUAUUUCAGUGGCAGCUUUAGGGUUUCUGGGAUACAUCUUUAAUUUAUCACAUUCUGCUUUCAAGUGUAAUUAUACCUCCCUUUCUGGCCUUUAUCCUAGUGUUACGUAUUUUUACUUUAUGCAUUAUAAGUUUUGUGAUUAUCAUUACCUUCAUUUAUUAUGUCAAAUAUUUUUAAAAAGAUUUAAAUUAUAAGAAAAUGUGUAGUACAUGCUUUCUAAAUGCCAUUUCCAAUAUUUGUUUUUGUAUAGGUCCAGAUUUUUAUCUGGGAUCCUUUUGCUUCUGCCUGGAGGACUCUUAAGAUUUCUUGUAGCGUGGGUUGGUGAAUUCUUUUAGUUUUUGUAUGUUUUUCAAUGUCCUUAUUUCACUCACAGUUUUGAAAUUUUAUUUUUGCAUAGAAUUCUAGGUUAAUUUUUUUCUCUAGUACUUUAAAAAUGUUGCCAUUUAUGAAGCAUUGCCAUUUAAAGUAUCAUCUUUCAUGUGCUUGUGAAAAUGGCAUAAAGCCGGUUUCUUGUGCUGGUUAUGUAAUUUUCAGAAUGUGUAUUUAAAUUUAAAAUAUUAAAUUUU
This 1054-nucleotide long non-coding RNA is filed under the name Homo sapiens (human). RNAcentral describes it as "non-protein coding LINC00623:32". Lineage: Eukaryota; Metazoa; Chordata; Mammalia; Primates; Hominidae. The record is from RNAcentral.